GUGAGGAAUUUUCCGCAAUGGGCGAAAGCCUGACGGAGCAAUGCCGCGUGAAGGAUGAAGGCCUAUGGGUUGUAAACUUCUUUUCUCAGAAAAGAAUUAUGACGGUAUCUGAGGAAUAAGCAUCGGCUAACUCUGUGCCAGCAGCCGCGGUAAGACAGAGGAUGCAAGCGUUAUCCGGAAUGAUUGGGCGUAAAGCGUCUGUAGGUUGUUUAAAAAGUAUUCUGUCAAAGAUUAGGGCUUAACCCUAGAUAGGCAGAAUAAACUUUUAAGCUAGAGUUUGGUAGAGGCAGAGGGAAUUCCCGGUGGAGCGGUGAAAUGCGUAGAUAUCGGGAGGAACACCAAAGGCGAAGGCACUCUGCUGGGCCAAUACUAAUACUGAGAGACGAAAGCGAGGGGAGCAAAUGGGAUUAGAAACCCCAGUAGUCC
RNAcentral lists this ribosomal RNA (426 nucleotides) under uncultured bacterium. RNAcentral describes it as "bacterial SSU rRNA". It matches the Rfam family "Bacterial small subunit ribosomal RNA", at positions 354 to 796 of the family's 1533-position model. The record is from RNAcentral.